This 274-nucleotide long non-coding RNA is filed under the name Lactuca sativa (garden lettuce). Its description in RNAcentral is "long non-coding RNA (LSAT_LNC005845)". The record is from RNAcentral. Lineage: Eukaryota; Viridiplantae; Streptophyta; Magnoliopsida; Asterales; Asteraceae.
AUCAUUUUGGCAUGGACGUAGAUCAUAAAGCGUCGGGCUUGUUGGGCUUUAUGGUAAUUUGAUUCCGGCUCCGGAGCCUCCGAAGGUUCAUACUCACCAUCCUUUUUCAUUUCACGAUUCCCAAGGCAAAAGAAUGUGAGGUAAUCUCUAGGGUCGUCUUCAAGCCCUUUGUUUUGUAAAGCUUGAAUAAUAUCUUUAUACAUCAUCUCCAUCGUCCUCCUUUGCCAGUCAAGUAUCGCCUGAACGGAAGCACUCUCCGGGAUCCCCUCCGGCC